CUACGGGAGGCAGCAGUGAGGAAUAUUGCGCAAUGGGGGAAACCCUGACGCAGCGACGCCGCGUGGAUGAUGAAGGCCUUAGGGUCGUAAAAUCCUGUCAGGUGGGAAGAAGUGGAUAUAGAUUAAUACUCUAUUUCUUUGACGGUACCACCAAAGGAAGCACCGGCUAACUCCGUGCCAGCAGCCGCGGUAAUACGGAGGGUGCAAACGUUGUUCGGAAUUACUGGGCGUAAAGCGCGCGUAGGCGGUUUGUUAAGUCAGAUGUGAAAGUACAUGGCUAAACUAUGGAAGUGCAUUUGAAACUGGCAGACUUGAGUACUGGAGGGUGUGAUGGAAUUCCCGGUGUAGAGGUGAAAUUCGUAGAUAUCGGGAGGAAUACCGGUGGCGAAGGCGAUCACCUGGCCAGAUACUGACGCUGAGGUGCGAAAGCGUGGGGAGCAAACAGGAUUAGAUACCCUAGUAGUC
Molecule: ribosomal RNA, 465 nt
Filed under: uncultured bacterium
Lineage: Bacteria
Description: partial 16S ribosomal RNA
Rfam family: Bacterial small subunit ribosomal RNA
Source: RNAcentral